Molecule: ribosomal RNA, 330 nt
Filed under: uncultured Actinomycetes bacterium
Lineage: Bacteria; Bacillati; Actinomycetota; Actinomycetes
Description: bacterial SSU rRNA
Rfam family: Bacterial small subunit ribosomal RNA
Source: RNAcentral
GACGAACGCUGGCGGUGUGCUUAACACAUGCAAGUGGUGCGACGAACCAGGCUUCGGCCUGGGGCAAAGCCGCGAACGGGUGAGUAACACGUGGGUAAUCUGCCCCGAUGACCGGGACAACCCGAGGAAACUCGGGCUAAUACCGGAUGUGGUGCCCAGACUUAAGUCUGGUCACUAAAGGUAGCUUCGGCUUCCGCAUUGGGAGGGGCCCGCGGCCCAUUAGCUUGUUGGUGGGGUCAAGGCCUACCAAGGCAACGAUGGGUAGCUGGUCUGAGAGGACGAUCAGCCACACUGGGACUGAGACACGGCCCAGACUCCUACGGGAGGCUG